RNAcentral lists this ribosomal RNA (446 nucleotides) under uncultured bacterium. RNAcentral describes it as "partial 16S ribosomal RNA". It matches the Rfam family "Bacterial small subunit ribosomal RNA", at positions 338 to 795 of the family's 1533-position model. The record is from RNAcentral.
CCUACGGGCGGCAGCAGUCGAGAAUCAUUCACAAUGGGGGAAACCCUGAUGGUGCGACGCCGCGUGGGGGAAUGAAGGUCUUCGGAUUGUACACCCCUUUCAUGUGGGAGCAAAUUAAUAAGAUAGUACCACAAGAGGAAGAGACGGCUAACUCUGUGCCAGCAGCCGCGGUAAUACAGAGGUCUCAAGCGUUGUUCGGAAGCACUGGGCUUAAAGCGUGCGUAGGCUGUUUCGUAAGUCGUGUGUGAAAGGCGCGGGCUCAACCCGCGGACGGCACAUGACACUGCGAGACUAGAGUAAUGGAGGGGGAACCGGAAUUCUCGGUGUAGCAGUGAAAUGCGUAGAUAUCGAGAGGAACACUCGUGGCGAAGGCGGGUUCCUGGACAUUAACUGACGCUGAGGCACGAAGGCCAGGGGAGCGAAAGGGAUUAGAUACCCUAGUAGUC